RNAcentral lists this long non-coding RNA (762 nucleotides) under Gossypium raimondii (Peruvian cotton). RNAcentral's name for it is "long non-coding RNA (GRAI_LNC011140)". The record is from RNAcentral. Lineage: Eukaryota; Viridiplantae; Streptophyta; Magnoliopsida; Malvales; Malvaceae.
UUAACCCCGAUGACGACGGAGAAAGGGCGAUCGGUCCAGUCGCGAGGUAUGCCGACUCUUUACUGCUUUUAUUUUCCUUAGUAAACACACAAAAGAAAAAAGAAAAGAAAUAAAAACUAUGUAGAAGAACAACAAGGAAGAAGAUGAAUACGAAAAUCACCUUUUUUCUGCUUUUUUUUUUGUAUUAUCAAUCGUCGCCCUGCUUUUACAACCUUCUUGGGCUUUUAUAAUGCCCUUUUACAGAAAAAUGAAAAGAAAAAAGAAAAGAAAAAAUAAAAUCCCUCCCCCGCAAUCGUAUUUCUUCCUUCUCUCUCCUCUCCGUUUUGCGUCUGUUUUUGCUGCUUUUGUGCGCGUCUCUUGCAGGUACGGAGUGCAGAGUCAGGUGCGUAUGGAGGCAGGUGGCGCGGCUCGGCUCGGAGGCGGCUGAGGCUUGGCACGCGCGAACGAGUAGAGUCGCUGCGGGGCUGAGGCGUGCGGCUAGGGUUCCAAGGGCUAUCGGACUGGUUACUUGGGCUUUUAUAAUCGGGCUAGGGACCUGGGCCCUUGUAAUUAGAAAUUGGGCUUAUUAUAUUUAGUUUGUAUUUCGGGCCUUUGUAUUUUGGGUAUUAGUUUUGUAAUCUGGACACUAUGUUUUUUUUGGACUAUUUUUAUUUUAUUAUUUUUUAUUAUUGGUCCGGGCAAUAUUGGGCCAUUACAGCUGCCCCUCUUUGCUCAUUGUCGUGUAACAAGAAUAGAGCAAAGACUAAAGAGGACCAAUUUUGC